This 489-nucleotide ribosomal RNA is filed under the name uncultured bacterium. RNAcentral describes it as "partial 16S ribosomal RNA". It matches the Rfam family "Bacterial small subunit ribosomal RNA", at positions 30 to 507 of the family's 1533-position model. The record is from RNAcentral.
UGAACGCUGGCUACAGGCUUAACACAUGCAAGUCGAGGGGAAACGACGGGGAAGCUUGCUUCCCCGGGCGUCGACCGGCGCACGGGUGAGUAACGCGUAUCCAACCUGCCUCUGACUGAGGGAUAACCCGUCGAAAGUCGGCCUAAUACCUCAUGGCAUCGUCUGCGGGCAUCCAACGACGAUUAAAGAUUUCAUCGGUCAGGGAUGGGGAUGCGUCUGAUUAGCUUGUUGGCGGGGUAACGGCCCACCAAGGCUACGAUCAGUAGGGGUUCUGAGAGGAAGGUCCCCCACAUUGGAACUGAGACACGGUCCAAACGCCUACGGGAGGCAGCAGUGAGGAAUAGUGGUCAAUGGGCGGGAGCCUGAACCAGCCAAGUAGCGUGCAGGAUGACGGCCCUAUGGGUUGUAAACUGCUUUUAUGCGGGGAUAAAGUGAGGGACGUGUCCUUCAUUGCAGGUACCGCAUGAAUAAGAACCGGCUAAUUCCGUG